UUGCGGAUUAUUUAUUUAUUUAAAUUAUUUUUUAUUUUCUGUAGAGCAUCAGCUCUCCAGAAAAAUGGUCAGGAUCCUACCAGCAAGGGUAUUUUUCUUCCUGUGAGUUACCCUGCUGCUCUCUCCCGUCUCUUGCCUCGGACUUUGGCUUGCACCUAGCACACAGACAGGGUCAAUCCACCACACCCGAAAAUGUGACAGUGUAGGGUACUGAAUGCCACAGACUACAGCUGAAGAGAGUAUCUACCUAUGAAGAGAAUCUUGAAGUAGAUUAUAAUACUUGCUAAAACACAGAUCAACCAGUAAACAUAGACAAGAACAGAUGAAACUUUGGAUAUCACGUAUCUGUAGCUUAAAGAGAGAUUAAAUAUGUCUACAUUUACUGUAAAGACUUGAAUGUAUAAAAAGUUGCAAAAAUGGAUAACAGUGGGAUAGCAUGUAACCUGUCAUACAGGUUAUUGUGUAUUUGUUGUUUUAUAGUGUACUGUGUUGUUGUUUUAUAAAAGUACUGCUCUGUCCUAACUACUCCUGAAUGAGUGUCAAUCUGUCCCAGCAUGGCGUGUCAUGUGCUCUGAAGGCUUCUGUGGGGGACUUGUUUGCAUUCCUACUAAUCCACAUUUCCAGUGGGCUUUGUUUUCUCCAGACAUCUUGGAGGAACAGAUGAAAAAAUUUCAAGAAUUGUAUCACUAUGAAGAGAACAUAGAAAAACCUGUCAACCUGGACCUUAAAGCCCCAUAAUCUUCACAUUUCAAAGGGCACUUAAUAUAGUCUUACAGCUUAAUACUGUGGUAGGAAAUAAAACACUUCCCAGUGCAUAGUGAAGGAUAUCAAUGAAUCUAGCAAAGAAACUCUGAAAUCACAGAUGGCCUUUCCUAAUGUCCCUAAGCUUCCCUUUAGUAAUAUAUAUUAUUUAUACAAAUUAGCUGCUGAGAAUUGCAGGGACAAAAAAGAGUUUUAUAAUCAGAGCUGUAUGAAAUGGAGGACAGUGAAACCAGAUUAAAAGAACUAGAUAAGCCUGACAAGCAGGAUUAAUGUGAGAUCUGAAGUGACAUAAAUCAUACCCUGAAGUUAACAAGAGCUGAGUUAUGCCUUUUUCAUGCUGUGUCUUCAUGCUGCUAGCCAAGACACAGCCUGAACCCUUGUGGGAGCAAAUGUUUUCCUGUGGCUUUGAGUAUCUCUGAGAGCAUUUAUAACCUGCUGUGUUACAGGAGAUUUGGUUCACAAUUUAAAUAGUUAAGAUACAUACAGGUGAAGAUAGAUAUGGGACAGUGACAAAUACCAGUUUUAAAAGUGGUCUGAACAGCCACAGUUAUUAAGUGUAGAUUUUGAGUCACAAUUUCAGUUCACUCUGAUGCUACAGAGAGCCUCUGCUACAAAGGAACUUCAUCUGGGAACUGGCUCUUCAUCUGGGUCCAUAUAAUUUAUCCAUACCAUUGCUGAUCAUAGGGGCAGGGUGGGAUAGAAAAGAUUACCCUGCUGAAAGUAUUUUUUAAAAGUAUUUUAAAACUAGUAAUUAGAUUAGAAACUGUUAGUAACAAACACUGAGAAAAAUCUGUGUGUGCAAUUGUUUAUUUGCAUAUAGGAUCUAGGACAGAACAUAGCACACUACUGUGUUUCUCUCAGAUUUUAGCUUUCUGUAUACUACUUUUUAACUUCUGGUGUUUUUAUAUUCUUAAAACAUAACCUUUCCUCUAAUGGAGUUACCAGCUUGGGAUUUAGCUAUUGUCACAUGUUUCAGAGGAACUUGGUUGUGUCCAGAAACACCUUUCGUAGUCAGGCAAAUUAUUGUAAGUUAUUGCCUGCAUGUUCUUGCUGAAGAGGUACUGUGUGGGCAAUAUCUGUUGUGUGCUUCAACAGACAACCUAACACUACCUGGAAUAAAACUUGUCAGGGUAAAAAAUGUGUUUUUCUAACAGCAAUAAGCAAUAUGGGUUAGGAUAAAGAAAUCUGUUGUGCUGUUCUAAAUAAAGUGAAUGUUUUGCUGAAAAUGAAUACAUUGAGGGGGAAGAAGUUGAGACAUCAUGUCAUUUCCACAUUUUUAAAAUAAUGACAAAGACUUGGUGUUUUUUCAUUUUUUAUUGGCUCAAAUUGCAGGAAGCAUGCUAGUUACAACUAGCAAACAAUGAGGUUAUGAGCUCUGAGUCUAGAUCAUGUGUGGCUUAGCUUAAACUGAGGUUCAUGUUGAUAGGUAGGACCCCAGAAGAGGCUUUUUUGUGAGCUAGGCUUGUUAAGGAUGGCCCUGAGAUGGAGCAUUUUUAUAUUAAAGAAGCAUCAUUGGGUCUGUUAUUUGGCAGAGCAGCUAAGGAAAUGUGAUGGGCUAGCACGGCAUGAAGUGCAGUGAAGGAAAUUUCCAGGCUGCAAGUAGUCUCUGCAAGUAGUGACCUCUACAAUUUUCUCUGCAAGUAGUGACCUGAAUCACAGCAAACACUCAGCUACAGAGUGAGAACCAGUGAAAGGAAGCAAAAAAUGCCUGCCUAGAUUCCCAGCACUUUGGGAAUGUGGAGAGGAACACAGAUAUGCAUAAAUUUUCACCAUACUUUAUUGAAGUGUUUUGUUCUUUGCGGAUUGCUUCAUAAUCUCUCAUGCAGGUGAAGUUUCUGCAAAGACAUGUUUUGGCAUCUUACUUAAUAUCCUCUGUUAAGUAGGAAUUUGCUGAAGCUGUAGUUUCAGACAACACUGCCCGUGAGAAAGUACUUAAAAAAAAAUUGAGUAUAAUGAAAACGAAGGUCUUUCCCUUGCUGUGGAAAGCAUUAAGCAUGGGCAGUUGUGUAAGAGAACCAAAUGUUUGCCAGUGACUAUCCAAGGUUGCUUCAGUGUCAAUAGUUGUGUAAACAUGGCAUAUCCUAUGGCAGCAUAACAUCAAGCCAAGGCUGGUUGUUGUACAGAAAAAUCUUUAUUUCUGAGUGACCAAUUGAUAAGGACAUCUUCAGAAUACAGUCUCAGCCUCCUCUUUGGCUCUGUGUCCUUACACCCUUGAGUAUCUCCAAAGAAAUCUUGUAUUUUUUUCUUCUCCCUUAGCACAUGCAUUGUGUAUAUCAUAGUCUCCGUGGAUGGUAAUGCAUUUUCAUGGUUUGCCAUGGUUUAUCUUUGCUUCCCUACUUUUUCCUGCUAUAAAUUCUGUGUAAGAUCAUUGUGCAGCCUACUAAAUCCAUUAAAGCAACAGAAACCUACAGACUUUGAAGACCAAUUCAUUAGUACAUGGUAAUGUUAAGGAGAAUGUAACCUUCCAGAAGAUUGCACUAACUUCACAAUUCAGUAAACAAAUCUGUAAUGGUAAUAGGAGAGAAAUGUAUGCAGAGAUCUGUGGAAGAAGUAGAAGACAACCAUAGUGGAUGCUUGAAUAUGGAUAAUUAAGUGAAACUCUCUAGUGUAAAACAGUUUGUGCAAAUUAACACACUUGUUCUCAAUAUACAUGUAAACAUGAGUCCUUUUUGCUUCAGCAAAAAAUCAUUGACUGAAGUUCUGCAAAAAUCUGCAAAAAUGAAGAAGACACACUGGGGACCUAAUAGUUCUGAGGCUUGUGCAAAAGUCUUCACUUUGAUCUGCAUCAAAGCUGCUGCUUCAAAGUUAUUUCUAAAGGACAGAGACUGAAAUUGGAAAAGGAAGGGAAAGUAAUGCAUGAGCCUAAUGUAUUAAAGAGUCUCUGUUUUUCUGACUGGCUGGUUUCUGUGCUGCAAUGAAUGCAAGAUGAGAAACGGAGAGUAAAUGAGCCAUAAUUAAGUAGCAAUGGUAGCAAUGCACUUGAUUUGGCUGUUUGUGUUGUUAAUCUGUUAGACUGUUUGCCACAGAAUCUACCCAGAGGAAUACUAGGAAUAUUCCCUUUAAAGACUAGAAAAGGAAGAGAAAUGGAGAAAAAAGGGGAAUAGUCAAGGAGGAAAUAUUAAUCAAAACAGGAAACUAUAAUAAACAUCAAUGUUAGAAUGUUUUUAAUGUGAUAUGACAUCUGCUGUAUACUUAAUGUCUGAAUGCCUAUAAAGACACAGUUCUUACCCAGAAAGACUUCAUAAUAUUAACAUAAUUUUAUUCAGUGUGCUUAGUUGUUAUGAUUUAAAUAUUCUGUGUUCAGUUACAUAUAUUUAUGUAUAUGUAAAAAGAUUCUAUUUUAGUCAGGUUUGACCUAAUUAUAAGUACUUUGUAUGUUUCUUAAAUGAUUUGUAGACCUGUUGCCUAGGAAAAGAAGUACAAGAGAAGUGACAUGAAACUGCUUUUCUACCUACCUGACUUGCCUCCCAACAAUGCUUGGCAAGCUUUGGUGAUUACUACACCUAAGAUGAAGGCCAUCUGGAUAGUGCUUCUGUCUUCUUUUACAAAACUUUAAAAAAAAAAAAGGUGGUCUGCUGAAGUGUUCAGGCAGGAAGCAUUACUCCCAUUUCCUAUGUGAAUAUCUCAGUUAUAUGUAGAGAAGUUCUGUUUCAAAGUUUGCAAUAAAAAUUACAAUUUGAAUAGAGAAUAAAUUUGAAAAUUCUCUCUGCUACCAAAAAAAAAAGUAGAAACUGAUUUAAAGAAUCAGUAGUACUUUGAAAUUAUGUUGUCCAACCUCAUUAUGUUUCUAAAAUUUUAAAUGCAGAAGUCUAUAAACAGAAAAUUUCUGUCUUAAAAACACAGACUGAUUCUAUGAGAUGUAUUCUAUUAUUUUUGAAGCAAUUCAGGGAGUUCAAUAUCCUUCCUCAUGUUUUGUGCAUGAAAAAAAUUGGUACAAGCUCAAUUGUGAAGAAAAACAAGAGACAUUCAGUUCACCUUUAGAAGCCAGGACUUUACUAACUUUGUGAAAAAAUAUAGAAAUUAAUAAAGGUAAGGAAUAAAAAUACAGGAAGUAUUGUUUCCAUAUAUAUUUUACAAAUUUUAUUCUUCCAGAAAAUUGAAGUGUUGAAUUUAGGAAAUGCUUUUAUUGAUUCUCUAUCAUUAAUGUUUAUAUGCCCAGUGUAAAUUGAAGAAAAUAAUUACAGGCUUUGUUGCCAAGAAUGAACUUCUGCAGAAUCAAGGAUCAAAAAUGGAACCUAACUUUGUAUCUAGCUAAAUACAUAUUUAAAUAUAGGGGCAAAGGUAAAUCUCCCAGUUUUUUUAGUAGCUCUUUGUAAUGAAGAGUAAGAAUUAGCCUUUGUACCAAUAAAAUAACUGAGAUUUACCUCUGAUUUCAGGUUAUUGAAGAGAACUGUAGAUAAGCACAGAGUCCUCAUUCAAUGAACCAUCAUACAGCACUAACAGUGCAAUCAGCUUUGUGUUUUAUAAAGAAUGAGUGUAAAAGGGAAUCAGGUCUGUGGUUUAAAUGAGAUAUUUUGUGAUAGAUGUUUGCUUUUGUCUUUGUACAAAAAGAUUCAUCUUUAUGGAAACGUGGUUGAAAUAUGAAACAUAUAUAAAUAAAAUAAACAAAUCAGUUAUAAGCAUCA
This is a long non-coding RNA of Passer domesticus (house sparrow), 5387 nucleotides long. RefSeq lists it as uncharacterized. Lineage: Eukaryota; Metazoa; Chordata; Aves; Passeriformes; Passeridae. The transcript is spliced from 2 exons. The record is from RefSeq and is a predicted model, not a curated record.